Molecule: ribosomal RNA, 253 nt
Filed under: uncultured bacterium
Lineage: Bacteria
Description: partial 16S ribosomal RNA
Rfam family: Bacterial small subunit ribosomal RNA
Source: RNAcentral
CACGUAGGGCGCGAGCGUUAUCCGGAAUGAUUGGGCGUAAAGCGUCCGCAGGUGGCAAUGUAAGUCUGCUGUCAAAGCGUCUGGCUCAACCAGAUAAAGGCAGUGGAAACUACAUAGCUAGAGUAAGGUAGGGGUAGAGGGAAUUCCUGGUGUAGCGGUGAAAUGCGUAGAGAUCAGGAAGAACACCGGUGGCGAAAGCGCUCUGCUGGACCUUAACUGACACUGAGGGACGAAAGCUAGGGGAGCGAAUGGG